GGACGGGACCCGCACAAGCAGCGGAGCGUGUGGUUUAAUUCGUUGCUACACGAAGAACCUUACCUGGGUUUGACAUAUAGGUUGUAGGGAACUGAAAAGGGACCGACCCUUCGGGGAGCCUAUACAGGUGUUGCAUGGCUGUCGUCAGCUCGUGUCGUGAGAUGUUCGGUUAAGUCCGCUAACGAGCGCAACCCUCGUCGUAUGUUAUAUGUGUCAUACGAGACUGCCGGUAAAAGCCGGAGGAAGGUGAGGAUGAUGUCAAGUCAGCAUGACCUUUAUAUCCAGGGCUACACACACGCUACAAUGGUCUGUACAAUGGGUAGCCAAGCCGCGAGGCGGAGCCAAUCCUGAAAGCAGGCCUCAGUUCAGAUUGCAGUCUGCAACUCGACUGCAUGAAGCCGGAGUUGCUAGUAACCGCAGGUCAGCAAUACUGCGGUGAAUACGUUCCCGGGUCUU
Molecule: ribosomal RNA, 456 nt
Filed under: uncultured Anaerolineaceae bacterium
Lineage: Bacteria; Bacillati; Chloroflexota; Anaerolineae; Anaerolineales; Anaerolineaceae
Description: bacterial SSU rRNA
Rfam family: Bacterial small subunit ribosomal RNA
Source: RNAcentral